This is a long non-coding RNA of Salvia miltiorrhiza (redroot sage), 450 nucleotides long. RefSeq lists it as uncharacterized. The transcript is spliced from 2 exons. The record is from RefSeq and is a predicted model, not a curated record. NCBI's taxonomy places the organism in Eukaryota, Viridiplantae, Streptophyta, Magnoliopsida, Lamiales, Lamiaceae.
CACAUUCUGCUAUAAAUAUCAUGCUUUCUGUUCACAAUCUUAACAAAAAUUAAUUCAUUUCUCUCUCUCUCUCUCUCACACACACACACAAGUUCUUGAAACUAUGAGAGAGAAUCACCCUCAAUACCACCUGCACUGCUUAACCAAAAGUAGAGGGACAAAGAAGAAGAAGAAACGAGUGUAUACUGUGAGUUUGUAUGUAAUAGAGCUUGGUGGAACAUUCAUUUGAGCAAGAUGUCUUGGACGGCUGACAUGAAGAGGGGAUGAGGGUUUUCAGUAUUUGUGCUGCCUCGACCUCGGACCUUCAUGUUUUAUUAAUCUAUAUACAGAUUAAAAUAACAACGAAGAAUUAUUUUCAGUUUUUUAUCAUAUAAAUUUAUGAUGAAUGUAUCACCUUAAUGAAUAAAUGGUACACUUGAGUUUUCAUGAAGGAAGCAAAAAAUUCAUUUU